This 736-nucleotide ribosomal RNA is filed under the name uncultured bacterium. RNAcentral describes it as "bacterial SSU rRNA". It matches the Rfam family "Bacterial small subunit ribosomal RNA", at positions 59 to 795 of the family's 1533-position model. The record is from RNAcentral.
AAGUCUGGGAGAAUAAGGUAGCAAUAUCUUUAGUAAACCGGCGCACGGGUGAGUAAUAUAUAGGUAAUAUGCCUUUUGGUUUGGAAUAACCCCGCGAAAGCGGGGCUAAUACCGAAUGAUGCAGCGGCUCCGCAUGGAGAUGUUGUUAAAGCUUCGGCGCCAAAAGAUUAACCUGUAUCCCAUGAGAUAGUUGGCGAGGUAACGGCUCACCAAGUCUGCGAUGGGUAGCUGAUCUGAGAGGAUGAUCAGCCACACUGGAACUGAGACACGGUCCAGACUCCUACGGGAGGCAGCAGUGAGGAAUAUUGCGCAAUGGAGGAAACUCUGACGCAGCGACGCCGCGUGAAGGAUGAAGGCCCUCUGGGUCGUAAACUUCUGUAGAGAGGGAAGAAUUUUUCGUUUCGCGAAAUUGACGGUACCUCUAAAGUAAGGGUCGGCUAACUACGUGCCAGCAGCCGCGGUAAUACGUAGGACCCGAGCGUUGUCCGGAUUUACUGGGUGUAAAGGGAGCGCAGGCGGAUUUUCAAGUCGAUGGUGAAAUCUUGCGGCUCAACCGCAAAACAGCCGUUGAUACUGUUAAUCUUGAGUGUGGAAGAGAGUGGCGGAAUUCAUGGUGUAGCAGUGAAAUGCGUAGAUAUCAUGAAGAACACCGGUUGCGAAGGCGGCCACUUAGUCCAUUACUGACGCUCAUGCUCGAAAGCGUGGGGAUCAAACAGGAUUAGAUACCCUGGUAGUC